CGCGGCCUAUCAGCUUGUUGGCGGGGUAACGGCCCACCAAGGCUAUGACGGGUAGCUGGUCUGAGGGGAUGGCCAGCCACAUUGGGACUGCGACACGGCCCAGACUCCUACGGGAGGCAGCAGUGGGGAAUAUUGCGCAAUGGACGAAAGUCUGACGCAGCGACGCCGCGUGUGGGAUGAAGCUCUUCGGGGUGUAAACCACUGUUGCCCGGGACGAAUUUCUGGAUUUUUCCAGAUUGACGGUACCGGGUGAGGAAGCACCGGCUAACUCUGUGCCAGCAGCCGCGGUAAUACAGAGGGUGCGAGCGUUGUCCGGAAUCACUGGGCGUAAAGGGCGCGUAGGUGGCUUGUUAAGCGUGUGGUGAAAGCCCGGGGCUCAACCCCGGGUCUGCCGUGCGUACUGGCGAGCUUGAGCAUAGUAGAGGCAGGUGGAAUUCCGGGUGUAGCGGUGGAAUGCGUAGAUAUCCGGAAGAACACCGGUGGCGAAGGCGGCCUGCUGGGCUAUUGCUGACACUGAGGCGCGACAGCGUGGGGAGCAAACAGGAUUAGAUACCCUGGUAGUCCACGCCGUAAACGUUGGGCACUAGGUGUGGGGCUCUAUCGACGGGUUCCGUGCCGUAGCUAACGCAUUAAGUUCCCCGCCUGGGAGUACGGA
Molecule: ribosomal RNA, 655 nt
Filed under: uncultured bacterium
Lineage: Bacteria
Description: bacterial SSU rRNA
Rfam family: Bacterial small subunit ribosomal RNA
Source: RNAcentral